UACGUAGGGUGCAAGCGUUAAUCGGAAUUACUGGGCGUAAAGCGUGCGCAGGCGGUUAUACAAGACAGAUGUGAAAUCCCCGGGCUCAACCUGGGAACUGCAUUUGUGACUGCAUGGCUAGAGUACGGUAGAGGGGGAUGGAAUUCCGCGUGUAGCAGUGAAAUGCGUAGAUAUGCGGAGGAACACCGAUGGCGAAGGCAAUCCCCUGGACCUGUACUGACGCUCAUGCACGAAAGCGUGGGGAGCAAACAGG
This 253-nucleotide ribosomal RNA is filed under the name uncultured bacterium. Its description in RNAcentral is "partial 16S ribosomal RNA". It matches the Rfam family "Bacterial small subunit ribosomal RNA", at positions 524 to 776 of the family's 1533-position model. The record is from RNAcentral.